AAUUUUGGGCAAUGGGCGAAAGCCUGACCCAGCAACGCCGCGUGAAGGAUGAAGUAUUUCGGUAUGUAAACUUCGAAAGAAUAGGAAGAAUAAAUGACGGUACUAUUUAUAAGGUCCGGCUAACUACGUGCCAGCAGCCGCGGUAAUACGUAGGGACCAAGCGUUGUUCGGAUUUACUGGGCGUAAAGGGCGCGUAGGCGGCAUAUUAAGUCAGCUGUGAAAUCUUCGAGCUUAACUCGGAACGGUCAGCUGAUACUGAUGUGCUAGAGUGCAGAAGGGGCAAUCGGAAUUCUUGGUGUAGCGGUGAAAUGCGUAGAUAUCAAGAGGAACACCUGAGGUGAAGACGGGUUGCUGGGCUGACACUGACGCUGAGGCGCGAAAGCUAGGGGAGCAAACGGG
Molecule: ribosomal RNA, 399 nt
Filed under: uncultured bacterium
Lineage: Bacteria
Description: bacterial SSU rRNA
Rfam family: Bacterial small subunit ribosomal RNA
Source: RNAcentral